This 336-nucleotide unclassified non-coding RNA is filed under the name soil metagenome. RNAcentral describes it as "partial contains 5.8S ribosomal RNA, internal transcribed spacer 2, and large subunit ribosomal RNA". The stretch from base 1 to 120 matches the Rfam family "5.8S ribosomal RNA", at positions 35 to 154 of the family's 154-position model. The record is from RNAcentral.
GAUGAAGAACGUAGUGAAAUGCGAUAAGUAGUGUGAAUUGCAGAAUUCAGUGAAUCAUCGAAUCUUUGAACGCACAUUGCGCCCCUUGGUAUUCCAUGGGGCAUGCCUGUUCGAGCGUCAUUUGUACCUUCAAGCUCUGCUUGGUGUUGGGUGUUUGUCUCGCCUCUGCGUGUAGACUCGCCUCAAAACAAUUGGCAGCCGGCGUAUUGAUUUCGGAGCGCAGUACAUCUCGCGCUUUGCACUCAUAACGACGACGUCCAAAAGUACAUUUUUACACUCUUGACCUCGGAUCAGGUAGGGAUACCCGCUGAACUUAAGCAUAUCAAUAAGCGGGGA